RNAcentral lists this ribosomal RNA (437 nucleotides) under uncultured bacterium. RNAcentral describes it as "bacterial SSU rRNA". It matches the Rfam family "Bacterial small subunit ribosomal RNA", at positions 64 to 507 of the family's 1533-position model. The record is from RNAcentral.
GAACGAGAAAGUGGAGCAAUCCAUGAGUAAAGUGGCGACCGGGUGAGUAACACGUGACUAACCUACCUCCGAGUGGGGAAUAACUCCGGGAAACCGGGGCUAAUACCGCAUAACAUCGCAAGAUCAAAGCAGCAAUGCGCUUGGAGAGGGGGUCGCGGCUGAUUAGCUAGUUGGUAGGGUAACGGCCUACCAAGGCGACGAUCCGUAGCUGGUCUGAGAGGACGACCAGCCACACUGGGACUGAGACACGGCCCAGACUCCUACGGGAGGCAGCAGUGGGGAAUAUUGGACAAUGGGGGAAACCCUGAUCCAGCGACGCCGCGUGUGUGAAGAAGGCCUGCGGGUUGUAAAGCACUUUUAGUGGGGAUGAAAAGCUCANGGGCUAACACCUCUGAGUCUUGACCUAACCCACAGAAAAAGCACCGGCUAACUCUGUG